AUAGUGGUCAUAGAUGAUGACAAAAGUGAAACCUGUAAUGAAGAUUUAGCAGGAACUACUGAUGAAAAAUCAUUAGAACGAGUGUCACUGUCUGCAGAAAGUCUCCUGAAAGCAGCAUCCUCUGUUCGCAGUGGAAAAAAUUCAUCCCCUAUAAACUGCUCCAGAGCAGAGAAGGGUGUAGCUAGAGUUGUGAAUAUCACUUCCCCUGGGCACGAUGCUUCAUCCAGGUCUCCUACUACCACUGCAUCUGUGUCAGCAACAGCAGCUCCAAGGUGGCAGUCACAGACCAGACAAGAAAGCUGAAGCGUCAUCCAGACAAGACUGAGCCAUACCUUCAGCCAGGACAGACUCAUAUGGAAAAGCUCUCUAAAGAGAAGGGAAUCCCUCCAUGAUAAAUGCUUAGUUUAACAUGUUCGACUGGUGCUCAAUUGUCUAUUGGCUGACAAAUCAUUUCCAUAAGCUGGGCUUUUCUAGCACAAUCCUCUGAAAUAAAAAUGUGAAAAAGCAAA
RNAcentral lists this small RNA (509 nucleotides) under Pan troglodytes (chimpanzee). RNAcentral describes it as "processed transcript". Lineage: Eukaryota; Metazoa; Chordata; Mammalia; Primates; Hominidae. The record is from RNAcentral.